RNAcentral lists this ribosomal RNA (496 nucleotides) under uncultured bacterium. RNAcentral describes it as "partial 16S ribosomal RNA". It matches the Rfam family "Bacterial small subunit ribosomal RNA", at positions 28 to 506 of the family's 1533-position model. The record is from RNAcentral.
GAUGAACGCUGGCGGCGUGCCUAAUACAUGCAAGUCGAGCGAACAGAUGAGGAGCUUGCUCCUCUGACGUUGGCGGCGGACGGGUGAGUAACACGUGGAUAACCUACCUAUAAGACUGGGAUAACUUCGGGAAACCGGAGCUAAUACCGGAUAAUAUAUUGAACCGCAUGGUUCAAUAGUGAAAGACGGUUUUGCUGUCACUUAUAGAUGGAUCCGCGCCGCAUUAGCUAGUUGGUAAGGUAACGGCUUACCAAGGCAACGAUGCGUAGCCGACCUGAGAGGGUGAUCGGCCACACUGGAACUGAGACACGGUCCAGACUCCUACGGGAGGCAGCAGUAGGGAAUCUUCCGCAAUGGGCGAAAGCCUGACGGAGCAACGCCGCGUGAGUGAUGAAGGUCUUCGGAUCGUAAAACGCUGUUAUUAGGGAAGAACAAAUGUGUAAGUAACUAUGCACGUCUUGACGGGACCUAAUCAGAAAGCCACGGCUAACUACGU